AUUGAACGCUGGCGGCAGGCCUAACACAUGCAAGUCGAGCGGAUGAAGGGAGCUUGCUCCUGGAUUCAGCGGCGGACGGGUGAGUAAUGCCUAGGAAUCUGCCUGGUAGUGGGGGAUAACGUCCGGAAACGGGCGCUAAUACCGCAUACGUCCUGAGGGAGAAAGUGGGGGAGCUUCGGACCUCACGCUAUCAGAUGAGCCUAGGUCGGAUUAGCUAGUUGGUGGGGUAAAGGCCUACCAAGGCGACGAUCCGUAACUGGUCUGAGAGGAUGAUCAGUCACACUGGAACUGAGACACGGUCCAGACUCCUACGGGAGGCAGCAGUGGGGAAUAUUGGACAAUGGGCGAAAGCCUGAUACAGCCAUGCCGAGUGUGUGAAGAAGGUCUUCGGAUUGUAAAGCACUUUAAGUUGGGAGGAAGGGCAGUAAGUUAAUACCUUGCUGUUUUGACGUUACCAACAGAAUAAGCACCGGCUAACUUCGUG
RNAcentral lists this ribosomal RNA (484 nucleotides) under uncultured bacterium. RNAcentral describes it as "partial 16S ribosomal RNA". It matches the Rfam family "Bacterial small subunit ribosomal RNA", at positions 30 to 507 of the family's 1533-position model. The record is from RNAcentral.